This 1253-nucleotide long non-coding RNA is filed under the name Homo sapiens (human). RNAcentral describes it as "HSALNT0152917". The record is from RNAcentral. Lineage: Eukaryota; Metazoa; Chordata; Mammalia; Primates; Hominidae.
UCUCAAUCCAUUCAGAGGUUUAUUUUGCCAAGGUUAAGGAUCAUGGCCUGUGACACAACCUCAGGAGGUCCUGAGAAUAUGUGCCCAAGGUGGUUGGUUACAGCUUGAUUUUACACAUCUUAGGGAAACAGAAGUUACAGGCAGACAUAACUUGGUUUGGCCUGGAAAGGCGGGACAUCUUAAAGAAGGGGGCGGGGGGCGGGGCUUCCAGGUCACACGCGAAUGCGAAGAUUUCCUGAUUGGCAAUUGGUUGAAAGAGUUAAGCUCUGCCUGAAGAGUCCAAGUCAGCUGAACUAAGUAAGGGGUGGGGUGGGGUGGGGUGGGGUGGGGGGGAUGGUGGGUGGAAGCCAAGGUUCUUAUGUAGAUGAAGCUCCAGGUAGCAGGCUUCAGAGAAAAUAGAUGUGAAGGUCUCUUAUCAGACCUUAAAAAGUGUCAGACUCUCCUGAAAAGACCUAGUUAGGGAAGGAGAUUCUCUACAGAAUGUAAAUUUCCCCCGCAAGAGACAGCUUUGCAGGGCCAUUUCAGAAUAUGUUAAAGAAAUAUAUUUUGUGGCAAAAUACUUGGAUUUCCUUCAGGGUCAUAGGAUGUUAUACCAGUCAGGUUGGAAUUUGGUAUGUGUUGCUACAAAGAGUCUGUUUGGUCCAUCUUAAGAGAUCUGUUUUAACGUGAAUGCCAGUCAGUUGUCUUUAAACUCCAAAGGGAGGAGAGGGUAAUGAGGCUUGUCUGGAUACUGCUCCCUUCUCAUCAUGGCCUGAACUAGUUUUUCAGUUCUGAACUAGGUUCAGGUUUUUUUGGGAUCUUCUUGGCCAAGAGAGGAGUCCAUUCAAUCAGAUGGGGGACCCCAGAAUUUUAUUUUUUAUUUUUUGAGGCAAAGUCUGGCUCUGUCGCCCAGGCUGGAGUAGAGUGGCGCGAUCUUGGCUCACUGCAACCUCCGCCUCCUGGGUUCAGGAGACUCUUCUGCCUCAGCCUCCGGAGUAGCUGGGAUUACAGGCGCAUGCCACCACGUCCAGCUAAUUUUUGUAUUUUUAAUAGAGACGGGGUUUCGCCAUGUUGACCAGGCUGGUCUCGAACUCCUGACCUCAAGUGAUCUGCCCUCCUUGCCCUCCCAAAGUGCUAGGAGUAUAGGCGUGAGCCACCGCACCCGGCCCUAGAAUUUUAUUUUUGGUUUACAGUACAAAAAGAUCUGCAGUCAGUGUUCUCACAUCUUUUUAAUCAUUCAUAUUGACUUAAUCAGGUUGACAAAAUCUCAGGGU